GUUUGAUCCUUAUUUGCCGUUUUGGAGAUCCUAAGUCGUCAGAUAUGGGCCAUUUUAUAAGGUUCACCCUAAUGCCCUUUCGAAAAAUUUUGAAAGUGGGAAAUGAGAGUAGAAAGCCAAAGAUAGAUGCCUCUGAAGAACAACCGAAGAAGAGCCCACAACAUAGACUAAGAGAAAUGUGCACCUAUCAUGUGUCAAGGUGCUUUUCAUUCCACCCUCAUAACAACUUUUCAAGGGAGGUUCAAUUAUCGCAAUUUUACGGAUGAAAAAAAAGGGAGACUAAGAGAGGAUGACUUGUCCAAAGCCAGGAAGGUUUGGAGAGGCAAAAGUGAGUUUUGAACCUAAGGCCCUGGGUAUGCCGCCUACACAGGCCCCCACACCUGGUUUAAUGCUCACUGUUGCUGUCGCGAAAUUCUUAUUUAUUUUUUAACAAGCGGCCCCAUAUUUUAUUUUUUGUUCUGGGUACUAUCAAGGAAGUAGCUGGGCCUGUUUUCUGGCUCUAAAACCCGUGCUUUCUCCCAGUAUACAAACUAUUCUUCUUAAGAGCCUUAAAAAGGCAUUGUUUUCUUCCUCUGUGCUCCGUGGUACUUUGUAUUCCACUCUGUCAGUCCUCAUAUUUAAUCUGUGACCCAGAGCCUAUUAAGGGGAUAAGCAACCAGUUUAUCUAUUAUGGUAUGUUGCUCUAUUAAGUGAUGCUUAUCACUGGAACAAACUGACAAAAUGUAAAUCGGCCUCCUCCAAACUACUGCCUUUGAGGGGAAAUUUAAACAACAACACUGUUUUCUAAAGCAGACCUAUAUCCCUGCUGAAUUUUUCUGCAACAUCAACAAACAGUAGCUCUCAAACAAAAGCAGAACAGAGAUCCUAAAAGCAAAUAAUGUAUGAGUAGUGCCGUGUAGCUGAUAGGUGUGACUUUUUGUUCCUUAAACUGUGAGCUCUUCAGGGUGCCCUAAGGAACUUGUCUGGUUCCAAAAAAUUAUGAAAGAGAGCUUGAAAAGAGGAGAGCUACAGGAGAAAUGAACUGACUGGUAUUUUCAGAAUACUGACUCUGCUUCAGUUAGAGAAAAUGAAUUCAAGUUAGUUUGUUUCUAGUAAACAAAAUAUUAAUAGAAAAUCUUUGUCAACCUGACUCCAUAUAUUAAAUAAUUAUUUAAAGAAAGUUGUUUGAAGGAGUACCUGCCCAGGUGCCUGCUGUUCUACUCAGCCCUCCUUUCCCCAGAUACCCAUGAGGUAGCUGUGGGCUGAGUCAGGUCAGGGAUAUUCUGCUUUCCACUGUGACAAGACCAGCAGAGUUGGGCAGACUUGAGAUAUCACCUCUUGGUCCACAAAGAAAAGAGGAUGAUGACUCUUAACUGCUCCCCUAAAAGCCUACCCUCCCCCUCCAGACAGCUUGUCUGCCAGUGUCAUUGGCCAAAAUUGGGUCAUAUGCAAAUACCUCAGCCAAGCUUCUUCAUAGGGCAUGUUGCCAGCAUGAUUGAUUUAGACCAAUCAGGAUCCACCCUGAGAUGGGAAUGAGGCCAGUCUGUGCUACAUAGUGGACGGGACUACCUGGCAAAGGCAGGGCUCUGCCAGCAGGAAUGAUGGAGGAUGGAUAUUGGAUGGACCAUCAAUAGUGCCUUCUGUGCUACAUCUAUUUAGACUGCCAGAGCCUUAUCAGGCAGGGAGCCUUUUUAAAUCCUUAAUCACAAGUCUUGGCCUCUUAAAAAAGUUAUUGGAAUUUGGGGAAGUGGCUGAGAAUAAGCUUUUCUAAUCAUUGUGUAUUCCUAAGGACAAAUUGGAUGUUAUUUUCUAAACACUAAAAACAUUAAACUUAGGGACACCUAGAGCUGUACAGAUGAGUCUCCCUACUUGAUGCUGUUCUCUCUAAAACCUUCUGUUUAUUCCACUUGGGAAAAAUGAAUCCAAGAAAAAACUUGUUCUUGCACAGAUCUGUCUGGUCAUUCAUUACACAUUCAACUGACUACGGUGCCCUCACAACACCCUUACUCCCCAGUCCCACAGAGGGACUCCUGCCUUAGCUACUUGCCAGACAGUUCCCACUUGAUGAUCUAAUCCACUCUUAUUUGUACUAGUCUAAAAUAAUCUUCACUUUCAUGUUUAAGGUUAUUCAUUACAUCAUUGUUACAGCAAAAGAUUGGAAAUAGCUUACAUACCAUCAAUAGGGAACAGGUUAUAUACCAUCAAUAGGGAACAGGUUCACACUUUGGAACACAGUGCAACUGUAAAACAAAAGGAAAAGGAAGCUGUUAAUGUAUUGAUAUAGAACUAUCUCCAGGAUAUAUGCAGAAAAAAACACAACAAGCUAUAGAGCAAUAUCCAUAUUAUACUAUAUUCUGUGUAAGGGGGAGAGGAGGAGAGGGGUAUUAGCAUGCAAACAUUUCCAGCUGCAUAAAUGAAUAUUGGGAAAAAAGUUGUUCUUAGUGGUGUGGAAGCAUAUAGGGAAUGAGGUGGUCAGGGUUAGGAAUGGGAAAGAAACUUCUUAAUGUAUACCAUUUUAUAUCAUUUGACUUUUGAACUAUGUGAAUAUAUUACCUAUUCAAAAUAUAGUAAAAUUGAAAACAAAAAUAAAAGAAUCUUCCACAUAUCUGUUUAACUUCCCAAUAAGCUAUAUUUCUGUUUAGGCAAUUCAAAAGCCUGCACAUUUUCCCCUCUCCAAGAACUGGGUAGGCACGGCAUAUUUUAGAUAAAGCCAAAUAUGGCCUGACAGAUCUGGGUCAGGACAUUCAGCUGGAAGCUGCUGCUUCCACAAAUGUUCAACCACAUAUGGCUAAUGACAAUAUCUUUUUCGUCCCUAAAGAAUGCCUCCCAAUGAUUAGUAUUUCUCUCCUAGAGGUUUGGAUGUGUUAGCUUCUCUCAUGGAUUUUCACGUGUCUGUAUAAAUCUUAGAUUUUAGAGAGCCGGUUUUCUUAUAUACUCAAGCUUUUAGGAUUUUGGUAUUCAUUUUUGUUUUUAUGCUGACAUACCAACAAAAGGUAGUGGAGGUAGAUCAGCCAUUCUGAUCUUUCAUUUCUGAUCUUUCUGAUCCUAAUUGCUAACUCAUUCACUGAAUAUAUUGCAUUAAUUUAACAAAUAUUUAUUGAGAAUCUAUUAGCCAAGACACUAUGCUAAGUGGUAGGAUACAAUGUGAGCAAGAUAGAGACCUUAUCUUCACUGACUUUGCAUCCUUCUGGAUGAGAAACAUGCUGAACAAUAGGAGGACAUGGAAGUGCAUAGCAGGUUCCUCCAGCCUAAUGUAGGAGUGAUUAGAGGACGCUUUUCCUGGAAGUGGAUGUAAGGUAUCUGUAGAAUGUGUAAAGACUGUCCAAGAGAAGAGGAAAACAUGAGAGUACAGUAGCUUCGAAAGCUUCACAGUACCUCCUGUUCCUGAUCAAGAAAACUGCCUUUCCAACAGCUGUACCAUUCAGGGCUGCAGAAUAAGCAGCUCCAAAUAGACUCAAGAGAUUCUCUGGCCAGAUUAAUCCCAUUAUGCUCACAUCCACAUUUACCUUAGUCCUUUCCAGAAGUCUGAGCCUUCAUAAUCUUACUCAAUCCUUCCCCUCCCCCACCACCAUUCCCAUGCAAACUCUUUGAGAGAGCCCUUUGGAAACUCAGAUCUAUGAUCAGCAAACCAGCUGAAGUAUUAGUGCAGUAAGCAAAAGGGUGCAUUGGCAUAAGACUGCCUAGAUUUAAAUCCUGGCUGUUACUGGGUGACCUUAAAUUAGGUCUUAGUGGGUGAAGAGGUACCCAGAAAGCUAAAAUCUUCAGUAAGGAAGAGAUAUAAGGAUGACAUGGCAUGAAUUUCAAAUUGGUAUAACCAUACAAACAAAAGAAUUAUCCAAAAGGCUUUAGAAAACAGUAUUUUCAAUGAAUAUCCUUAAUGGAGUAUAUUCCA
This 3871-nucleotide long non-coding RNA is filed under the name Homo sapiens (human). RNAcentral describes it as "non-protein coding lnc-CCDC89-1:1". Lineage: Eukaryota; Metazoa; Chordata; Mammalia; Primates; Hominidae. The record is from RNAcentral.